RNAcentral lists this ribosomal RNA (1424 nucleotides) under metagenome. RNAcentral describes it as "bacterial SSU rRNA". It matches the Rfam family "Bacterial small subunit ribosomal RNA". The record is from RNAcentral.
AAAAGUGGCGAAAGGGGCAGUUAUGCGUGGGUAACCUACCCUCGGGACGGGGAUAGCCCUCCUAACGGAGGGGUAAUACCCGGCGAUUCGGUUGGGAGGCAUCUCCUGGCCGGGAAAUGAAUUUCGCCUGGGGAGGGGCUCACGUGCUAUUACCUAGUUGGUAAGGUAACGGCCUACCAAGGGAAAGAUGGCUAGCGGGUAUGAGAGUACGACCCGCGCCACUGGCACUGAGACACUGGCCAGACUCCUACGGGAGGCUGCAGUCGAGGAUCUUCGGCAAUGGGCGCAAGCCUGACCGAGCGACGCCGCGUGCGCGAUGAAGGCCUUCGGGUUGUAAAGCGCUGUCGAGGGGGAGGAAAAUCCGCAAGGAUCUGACCUAUCCCUGGAGGAAGGACGGGCUAAGUUCGUGCCAGCAGCCGCGGUAAGACGAACCGUCCUAACGUUGUUCGGAAUCACUGGGCUUAAAGGGCGCGUAGGCGGGCUGCCAAGUCAGGGGUGAAAUCUUUCGGCCCAACCGGAAAAGUGCUUUUGAUACUGGCAGUCUCGAGGGAGGUAGGGGCGCGUGGAACUAUUGGUGGAGCGGUGAAAUGCGUAGAUAUCAAUAGGAACGCCGGUGGCGAAAGCGACGCGCUGGACCUUUUCUGACGCUGAGGCGCGAAAGCCAGGGGAGCAAACGGGAUUAGAUACCCCGGUAGUCCUGGCCCUAAACGAUGGGUACCAGAUUGUAGACUUGACAUGGGUUUACAGUCGAGGCAAAAGUGUUAAGUACCCCGCCUGGGGAGUAUGGUCGCAAGGCUGAAACUCAAAGAAAUUGACGGGGGCUCACACAAGCGGUGGAGCAUGUGGCUUAAUUCGAGUCUACGCGAAGAACCUUAUCCUGGACUUGACAUGUGCGAAAGCGCUGGGAAGUAGCGUGCGGAAACGUUACGCGAACGGUAUCCAAUCCGGAACCCAGUACAGGUGCUGCAUGGCUGUCGUCAGCUCGUGUCGUGAGAUGUCGGGUUAAGUCCCAUAACGAGCGAAACCCCUGUCUCCAGUUGCCAACACGUCAUGGUGGGGACUCUGGAGAGACUGCCGGUGUUAAACCGGAGGAAGGUGGGGAUGACGUCAAGUCCUCAUGGCCUUUACGUCCAGGGCUGCACACGUGCUACAAUGGCGUAUACAAAGGGAAGCCAACGCGCGAGCGGGAGCAAAUCUCAAAAAAUACGCCCCAGUUCAGAUCGAAGGCUGCAACUCGCCUUCGUGAAGUUGGAAUCGCUAGUAAUCGCGGGUCAGCAACACCGCGGUGAAUGUGUUCCUGAGCCUUGUACACACCGCCCGUCAAGCCACGAAAGGGAGGGGGGGACUAAGUCGCCGCGCCAACCCGCAAGGGAGGUAAGCGCCUCAUCCCCAAUUCCUGAUUGGGACUAAGUCGAAACAAGGUA